GCACUUUGGCAGCACAUAUACUAAAAUUGGAAUGACACAGAGAAGAUUAACAUGGGCCCUACACAAAGAUGACACAAAUUCACAAAGGUUCCAUAUUUUU
This 100-nucleotide small nuclear RNA is filed under the name Vulpes vulpes (red fox). Lineage: Eukaryota; Metazoa; Chordata; Mammalia; Carnivora; Canidae. The record is from RNAcentral.